AGGGAGAAGGACAUCAUACUUGUAUUUCUGAGACUUCUGGAGUGAUCCCCAGGCUGCUAAAAUUGACACUGUUUCAGGUGUUUCAGGAUGGUUGCUGACAGCAGCUGAGAAACAUUUGGCACGGCGCAAGAAAAGAAGUGCAAAGGUGACAGUCUCCUUCCCUGGCUGGCUGGGCUGGUUCAGCAUCCACCACCUGCCAGCAGACCCAACACGCCAGGACGGCCCCCUCCUUGUCUUUAGAUUCAUCUGGACUUGAAAGGUUGUUUUUGGGUUUGAUUUUGUUUGCAACUGCAAGAAUAUUGGCCAGGUGCACCAUAUGUAGAAGCCACUACAUAGAAAAGCCUCCGAAUUCCACUGAAAUAUCUAUGGGUUCAGAUAUUUGUGUUCUUCAGCAUUUUAUGAAUUCAGAAACAGAUGGGCUAUGACCAGGAAGCAGUGGAGAACAGACUGGCGUAAAGCAGCCUGCCCUACCAGCAAUUCAACUACAACUGACUUAAUGAAGAGUAGAAGUAAGCAUGAAUCCAGACUUUCCAUGGAUCAUAAUAUUUGAGAACCCAGAAGAAUCAACAUGACGGAAAUCAUGCCAAGAGCCACAAAGUGCCAUCUGUAGAUGGACAAGACUCUUGUUGAUGCAGCUGGAUGAAGGCAAAAGAGGAGCCUGGGAUGUGGGUGCAGGAAAGAACCUGCAGGACCACUUGGUUUGAAAGGUGCUGUAGGAGUGGAAGCCAUCAGCAUUCAAAUGACAAAGACACGACUGGGAGUGUCCCUUCAGGGCAGCAAAACAAGGAGAUGCUGCUCAGGAAUUCAGUUUCCCAGUGCAGUUGUGCUAGCUGAGCAGCACAUGCCACAUAUCUUGCUUGCAUCUUGGACUCUUGAAGGUUUUCUUUUCUCUCAUUCUCUUGUCCAAGCUUCACAUUUAACCUUUGAGGCAGUUUUGAAUAUAUCCCUCCAUAAAUCAUAGUCCAGUAGCACUAACCUCA
This is a long non-coding RNA of Lepidothrix coronata (blue-crowned manakin), 980 nucleotides long. RefSeq lists it as uncharacterized. NCBI's taxonomy places the organism in Eukaryota, Metazoa, Chordata, Aves, Passeriformes, Pipridae. The record is from RefSeq and is a predicted model, not a curated record. The transcript has 6 exons.